Phascolarctos cinereus (koala) is the source of this 238-nucleotide non-coding RNA. NCBI's taxonomy places the organism in Eukaryota, Metazoa, Chordata, Mammalia, Diprotodontia, Phascolarctidae. The record is from RefSeq and is a predicted model, not a curated record.
CUUUACACUCACUACCUGUGUGAAACUGGAAACAUAAAUGUUUGCAGCAAGUAAAGACAGAAGCACUUUAAUAAUGUUUCUCCACCAUCACCACUGUAUAUGUAUAUGAAUUUGGGAGUCUACCUGCCAAGACAAACCCAGGAACCCAGUGAACGCAGUGAAACUCAGUGAAGAGACCCAGUGAACACAAUUACAAAAUACUUCUCCCACAAAUAAAGUCCAAUCUAAAUAAUUGGAA